GCCGGGUGCAGUGGCACACGCCUGUAAUCUGAGGGACUCAGGAGGCUGAGGCAGGAGGAUCGUGAGUUCGAGGCCAGCCUCAGCAAUUUAGUGAGACCUUGUGUCUU
Molecule: small RNA, 107 nt
Filed under: Marmota monax (woodchuck)
Lineage: Eukaryota; Metazoa; Chordata; Mammalia; Rodentia; Sciuridae
Source: RNAcentral